AUUGAACGCUGGCGGCAGGCCUAACACAUGCAAGUCGAACGAGUGGCGGACGGGUGAGUAAUGUCUGGGAAACUGCCUGAUGGAGGGGGAUAACUACUGGAAACGGUAGCUAAUACCGCAUACCAUCAGAUGUGCCCAGAUGGGAUUAGCUGGGUGGUGGGGUAACGGCUCACCAAGGCGACGCUCCCUAGCUGGUCUGAGAGGAUGACCAUCCACACUUGGACUGGAACCAGGGCCCGGACCCAUCGGGAGGCAGGAGUGGGGAAAAUUGCACAAUGGGCGCAAGCCUGAUGCAGCCAUUGCGCGUGGAUUAAGAAGGCCUUCGGGUUGUAAAGUACUUUCAGCGGGGAGGCGUUACCCGCAGAAGAAGCACCGGCUUACUCCGGGCCAGCCGCCGCGGUAAUAC
RNAcentral lists this ribosomal RNA (406 nucleotides) under uncultured bacterium. RNAcentral's name for it is "partial 16S ribosomal RNA". It matches the Rfam family "Bacterial small subunit ribosomal RNA", at positions 30 to 526 of the family's 1533-position model. The record is from RNAcentral.